GGUCAAGUUAUUAAGGGUGCAGGGCGGAUGCCUUGGCACUAGGAGCCGAUGAAGGACGUGAUAAGCUGCGAUAAGCUUCGGGGAGUUGCACGUAAACUUUGAUCCGAAGAUUUCCGAAUGAGGAAACUCACUUAGAGUAAUGUCUAAGUAUCAUUAAGUGAAUACAUAGCUUAAUGAGGGGAACUCAGGGAACUGAAACAUCUAAGUACCUGAAGGAAGAGAAAGAAAUUCGAUUCCGUAAGUAGCGGCGAGCGAACGCGGAUUAGCCCAAACCAAUAAAGUUUUCUUUAUUGGGGUUGCGGACAUAUCAUAACGAAGAGGUAUCGUAAUUGAAGAGGUUUGGAAAGACCCACCACAGAAGGUAAUAGUCCUGUAUGUUAAACGAGAAGACUUCAGAUAUGAUCCAGAGUACCACGGGACACGUGAAACCCUGUGGGAAGCAGGAGGGACCACCCUCCAAGGCUAAAUACUACCUAGUGACCGAUAGCGUAUAGUACCGUGAGGGAAAGGUGAAAAGAACCCCGGGAGGGGAGUGAAAUAGAACCUGAAACCCUGCACUUACAAGCUGUGGAAGCACAUUUCUUGUGUGACCGCGUACUUUUUGUAGAACGGGCCAACGAGUUACGUUAAGUAGCAAGGUUAAGCACUUAAGGUGUGGAGCCGUAGCGAAAGCGAGUUUUAACUGAGCGUUCAGUUACUUGACGUAGACCCGAAACCGGGCGACCUACCCAUGAGCAGGAUGAAGCGAAAGUAAAAUUUCGUGGAGGUCCGAACCCACGAGCGUUGAAAAGCUCGGGGAUGACUUGUGGGUAGCGGUGAAAUUCCAAUCGAGCCCGGAGAUAGCUGGUUCUCCCCGAAAUAGCUUUAGGGCUAGCCUCAAGG
This 882-nucleotide ribosomal RNA is filed under the name Clostridioides difficile. Its description in RNAcentral is "partial 23S ribosomal RNA". It matches the Rfam family "Bacterial large subunit ribosomal RNA", at positions 1 to 887 of the family's 2925-position model. Lineage: Bacteria; Bacillati; Bacillota; Clostridia; Peptostreptococcales; Peptostreptococcaceae. The record is from RNAcentral.